Molecule: long non-coding RNA, 1233 nt
Organism: Heterocephalus glaber (naked mole-rat)
Lineage: Eukaryota; Metazoa; Chordata; Mammalia; Rodentia; Bathyergidae
Source: Ensembl
UGCUGAAGUGAAAAAUGUAAUAUUGAAGUUCCAUUUUGCAAGCGGAAAAAUGAUUUUGUCAACAUUUGCAUAAAAUCUGCACAUUUAUAUACUGCAUGUUAUUUUAAAAUUCCAUGACUAAAUUAUGAAUUUUGCAAAUUUAAGCUUACAUCUAUACCGUUGCUGGUGUAUAUGCGGUAGAUACGGAAUGAAUAUUUUCAGUUUAAUAGUUAACAUCCUCAAACAAUGGACGACAGAUGUGAAAAUUAUAAGGACAUUUUGAUAGCUCAAACUUAUUCAAAUUAUAAGUAUCUGGUCCUAUUAUUACAUUUUCUCUCCUCUGUCACAAAAUAGGAUGGUUCUGUUGCAGUGCUAGGAAUACUGGAAUGGGUUAUUUUAAGUUGUUUCACUUGUAACCCCAAGCUAGCCAAUUUUAUUUUAGCUCAUUAAUAAAAAUAUCUUUGAAAAUGAAAAUCCAGGUCCCUAGCAAGGAUCUGGGCAGUGAUCUUACACAUUGCACACAUCACUGGUACUCAGAAUUUUAGCUGCAGUGCACAGUGUAAUGUGUAGCUGAGACGUGACUCUAAAUCCCCUUUACUCAUCUAAGUUUCUUUCUGGCUGUAAAACAUUUUACAUGCAACUAGUUUUAUUUUUACUAUUCUGGAUAUUCUGAUUAUGACAACUCUAGUGGUUCUGCAUUAAAUAAGCCUCUCUACCUUCACUCUUUUGUUUGUAUUCACAGUCCCUGGAGUUCUUAUAUAAAACAACAAUGUGGCAACAAUAACUACAAAAACAAGAACAACAACAACAAUAAAACAUCAACAACUUUCCUGGAUUACGUAUUUUUUAGCUCUUUGGAAUAGGCAAAAAAUAUAAAGACUUUGUCUUCAGCAGAUCACCUCAAAUAUAGGCUACUAGAACACAGCACACUUAGGUAAGCUGUGAAUGACAUCUAACAAAAUAUGUAAAAAUAAUACUGAUAGGUGAGAACAAAUUAAAUAACAAAAGGGAUCAGUAAUGAUGGAAUAGUUUCUGAUAACUGAAAUAAUGUCCUUUCUAGAUUUAAGAAAAAUUACAUCUAAGUAUUAACACAAAAUAUAUACACAUGGAAGAAUCAAAUGUGCCAUGUGGACUAUAUAAAUAUAUUGGUACAGAUUGAAUCUAACACUUUUCCAAAUCAAUGUACAAUAUAAACAUUAAUAAUAGUACAGGCAUGCCAAAAAGACAAAAAUAGAAACUGAUAAUGAAAAUAUU